Molecule: long non-coding RNA, 283 nt
Organism: Hyaena hyaena (striped hyena)
Lineage: Eukaryota; Metazoa; Chordata; Mammalia; Carnivora; Hyaenidae
Exons: 3
Source: RefSeq, a predicted model, not a curated record
UCCUAGCCUCCAGAAACGUGAGAAAUAAAUCUUCCCCAUUGAGAAAGAACAUCACACUGGGGAAGAGGUGGAACUAUUCAGAGCACUUGAGAUAGAAGGAGAGAGUGGGAGAAGGAACCAGGCAUUUCAGAGGGGUCUUUCUAUUGAGCAAGCUUGCCUGUGAGGUCAACACUGUGAAGAAAAAGUGGACUUAAAGUGAACAUUGUGGGACAUACUGGAAGUCAAGAAGAAGUCCCAGCCACACCUGAGAGCAUCUGAAGCACUAUUAAAAACUGAAGUGAGU